RNAcentral lists this small RNA (416 nucleotides) under Arabidopsis thaliana (thale cress). Its description in RNAcentral is "ATSL048470". Lineage: Eukaryota; Viridiplantae; Streptophyta; Magnoliopsida; Brassicales; Brassicaceae. The record is from RNAcentral.
UCUACAUAUUUCUUUUUUAAAUCUAAUAUUAAAUUAUACUAGAAAAUGACCGUUUGUACAAAUUAGUGAUUCGUGUGACUGAGAAAAAUUUAAAGAAAUGGAUAAAUUAACGGUUUUAGACGUGAAACUUGCUUUGAAGAUCUCUGGAAUUUAAGUCGAGUAAGAAUCCAUAUUUGAUACGCCUUGUCAUAUCGUCUAUCUCCCAUUCAAUAGUUGUAAUCCUGUUGAUUUAUCGAUCCAUCUUGUGAUAAGAGUCCCAAAAUGUGGUUUUUCACCGUGUCUUCUCCCGUUCCUCUCCUUCCAAAUUGUAUAAUCGGUGGUUUGUAACGCAUAACGAGAGAAAAAGGAUUUAAUUUCGUUAAAUACAUUCGAGUUUUGUAAAAUUUAACACUGUAAAAAAUGUUUCCAUUGGUGAC